AUUUGUAUUACGCACGGGAAUUUGCAUUACUUUGGGCCGAAAGUGGUGCAUUUUCCCGUGCGUAAUACAAAUU
Paramuricea clavata is the source of this 73-nucleotide non-coding RNA. The record is from the annotation of a GenBank genome assembly. NCBI's taxonomy places the organism in Eukaryota, Metazoa, Cnidaria, Anthozoa, Malacalcyonacea, Plexauridae.